RNAcentral lists this ribosomal RNA (406 nucleotides) under uncultured bacterium. RNAcentral describes it as "bacterial SSU rRNA". It matches the Rfam family "Bacterial small subunit ribosomal RNA", at positions 350 to 751 of the family's 1533-position model. The record is from RNAcentral.
AGCAGUGGGGAAUUUUGGACAAUGGGCGCAAGCCUGAUCCAGCAAUGCCGCGUGAGUGAAGAAGGCCUUCGGGUUGUAAAGCUCUUUUGUCAGGGAAGAAACGGUGAGAGCUAAUAUCUCUUGCUAAUGACGGUACCUGAAGAAUAAGCAUCGGCUAACUACGUGCCAGCAGCCGCGGUAAUACGUAGGGUGCAAGCGUUAAUCGGAAUUACUGGGCGUAAAGCGUGCGCAGGCGGUUUUGUAAGUUUGUCGUGAAAGCCCCGGGCUCAACCUGGGAAUUGCGAUGAAGACUGCAAGGCUUGAAUCUGGCAGAGGGGGGUAGAAUUCCACGUGUAGCAGUGAAAUGCGUAGAGAUGUGGAGGAACACCGAUGGCGAAGCAGCCCCUGGGUCAGAUUGACGCUCAUG